This 653-nucleotide long non-coding RNA is filed under the name Daphnia pulicaria. RNAcentral describes it as "uncharacterized LOC124341634, transcript variant X2". Lineage: Eukaryota; Metazoa; Arthropoda; Branchiopoda; Diplostraca; Daphniidae. The record is from RNAcentral.
GGUCAUUGGCAGUCCAAGUUUUGGCAUUAAGUUGUUGAAUAUUUCCUAUUGAACACAACUUCAACCACCAAUCUUUAACUUUACAUCCCAAAAGUUUUGAAUGUGUUACUGUGAUCAAGUUAGCGAAAUUCUUUGGGUGCUGUCAAGCCAAUCUUUGAAAUCUAUGGGUAGUUCCUGCCUCCCAAUAGGAAGCACUCUUUUAUUGAAAUCCUCUCCAUUUCCAAUUCUUUGCUGUUAUUUUGCAGAUAACACAAAUAAUGCUGCUACUCUAGAGGUGACUACCACAUGGGCUUGAAUUUAGGAUAAUCUAGGAUUGAUAGAUCAGAGGAUAAGCCCUCGCCGUUUAUCUUGCCGUAGAAACUGAAGGGAGAUUGCUGAAAAUCAAGACAGAUGACAUGUGGUUUUGCAGCCCGUUUCCAGUUCAAGCUUUUGCAUACCGUCUGUGGUUCUGGACUUCUGGUGUGUUCCUGGACAGUGUUGAUUGUCAAUGCCUUAAAAUUGGUGUCUCCGAAACUAAUUGAAGUAGUCUUAAUUAUGUAGAUGUAGACAAGUGCAUAAUCUGGGCUCCCUUCUUUUCUGUGGCCCCGUUUCCCUAACUAACCACUAACCAACGCCCGCCGGUGGUCACUCACCCGCUGUGAAACCAGGAGGAG